UGAAGACGUGACGCCAGUUGCGUUGGAGCCGUCCUUGAAAUACCACCCUUGUAUGUUUGAUGUUCUAACUUAGACCCAUUAUCUGGGUUGAGGACAGUGCCUGGUGGGUAGUUUGACUGGGGCGGUCUCCUCCCAAAGAGUAACGGAGGAGCACGAAGGUGGGCUAAUCACGGUUGGACAUCGUGAGGUUAGUGCAAUGGCAUAAGCCCGCUUAACUGCGAGAAUGACGGUUCGAGCAGGUGCGAAAGCAGGUCAUAGUGAUCCGGUGGUUCUGUAUGGAAGGGCCAUCGCUCAACGGAUAAAAGGUACUCCGGGGAUAACAGGCUGAUACCGCCCAAGAGUUCAUAUCGACGGCGGUGUUUGGCACCUCGAUGUCGGCUCAUCACAUCCUGGGGCUGAAGUCGGUCCCAAGGGUAUGGCUGUUCGCCAUUUAAAGUGGUACGCGAGCUGGGUUUAGAACGUCGUGAGACAGUUCGGUCCCUAUCUGCCGUGGGCGUUGGAAGAUUGAAGGGGGCUGCUCCUAGUACGAGAGGACCGGAGUGGACGAACCUCUGGUGUUCGGG
RNAcentral lists this ribosomal RNA (563 nucleotides) under Vibrio cholerae. Its description in RNAcentral is "partial 23S ribosomal RNA". It matches the Rfam family "Bacterial large subunit ribosomal RNA", at positions 2158 to 2720 of the family's 2925-position model. The record is from RNAcentral. Lineage: Bacteria; Pseudomonadati; Pseudomonadota; Gammaproteobacteria; Vibrionales; Vibrionaceae.